GACGAACGCUGGCGGCGUGCUUAACACAUGCAAGUCGAACGGAAAGGCCCUGCUUUUGUGGGGUGCUCGAGUGGCGAACGGGUGAGUAACACGUGAGUAACCUGCCCUUGACUUUGGGAUAACUUCAGGAAACUGGGGCUAAUACCGGAUAGGAGCUCCUGCUGCAUGGUGGGGGUUGGAAAGUUUCGGCGGUUGGGGAUGGACUCGCGGCUUAUCAGCUUGUUGGUGGGGUAGUGGCUUACCAAGGCUUUGACGGGUAGCCGGCCUGAGAGGGUGACCGGCCACAUUGGGACUGAGAUACGGCCCAGACUCCUACGGGAGGCAUCAGGGGGGAAUAUGACACAAUGGUCGGAAGCCUGAUGCAGCAACGCCGCGUGCGUGAUGACGGCCUUCGGGUUGUAAACCGCUUUCGCCUGUGACGAAGCGUGAGUGACGGUAAUGGGUAAAGAAGCACCGGCUAACUACGUG
This 468-nucleotide ribosomal RNA is filed under the name uncultured bacterium. RNAcentral's name for it is "partial 16S ribosomal RNA". It matches the Rfam family "Bacterial small subunit ribosomal RNA", at positions 28 to 507 of the family's 1533-position model. The record is from RNAcentral.